AAAAAGCUCGUAGUCGGAUUUUGGCUGAGAACGGUCGGUCCGCCGUUAGGUGUGCACUGACUGGUCUCAGCUUCCUGGUGAGGAGGUGUGCUUCAUCGCCACUUAGUCACCGUGGUUACUUUGAAAAAAUUAGAGUGUUCAAAGCGGGCUUACGCUUGAAUAUAUUAGCAUGGAAUAACACCAUAGGACUCCUGUCCUAUUUCGUUGGUCUCGGGACGGGAGUAAUGAUUAAGAGGAACAGUUGGGGGCAUUCGUAUUUCAUUGUCAGAGGUGAAAUUCUUGGAUUUAUGAAAGACGAACUUCUGCGAAAGCAUUUGCCAAGGAUGUUUUCAUUGAUCAAGAACGAAAGGUGGGGGCUCGAAGAUGAUUAGAUACCAUCCUAGUCUCAACCGUAAACGAUGCCGACUAGGGAUUGGCGGAUGUUAAUUGAUGACUUCGCCAGCACCUUAU
This 450-nucleotide ribosomal RNA is filed under the name uncultured marine eukaryote. Its description in RNAcentral is "SSU rRNA". It matches the Rfam family "Eukaryotic small subunit ribosomal RNA", at positions 621 to 1091 of the family's 1831-position model. The record is from RNAcentral.